Molecule: non-coding RNA, 48 nt
Filed under: Schistosoma mansoni
Lineage: Eukaryota; Metazoa; Platyhelminthes; Trematoda; Strigeidida; Schistosomatidae
Source: RNAcentral
AUCCAGCUAACGAGUUCCAAAUAGGACGAAACGCGCAUCAAACCGGAU